This 497-nucleotide ribosomal RNA is filed under the name uncultured bacterium. RNAcentral's name for it is "partial 16S ribosomal RNA". It matches the Rfam family "Bacterial small subunit ribosomal RNA", at positions 28 to 507 of the family's 1533-position model. The record is from RNAcentral.
GAUGAACGCUGGCGGCGUGCCUAAUACAUGCAAGUCGAGCGAACAGACGAGGAGCUUGCUCCUCUGACGUUAGCGGCGGACGGGUGAGUAACACGUGGAUAACCUACCUAUAAGACUGGGAUAACUUCGGGAAACCGGAGCUAAUACCGGAUAAUAUAUUGAACCGCAUGGUUCAAUAGUGAAAGACGGUUUUGCUGUCACUUAUAGAUGGAUCCGCGCCGCAUUAGCUAGUUGGUAAGGUAACGGCUUACCAAGGCAACGAUGCGUAGCCGACCUGAGAGAGUGAUCGGCCACACUGGAACUGAGACACGGUCCAGACGCCUACGGGAGGCAGCAGUAGGGAAUCUUCCGCAAUGGGCGAAAGCCUGACGGAGCAACGCCGCGUGAAUGAUGAAGGUCUUCGGAUCGUAAAACUCUGUUAUUAGGGAAGAACAAAUGUGUAAGUAACUAUGCACGUCUUGACGGUACCUAAUCAGAAAGCCACGGCUAACUACGUG